RNAcentral lists this ribosomal RNA (914 nucleotides) under uncultured marine bacterium. RNAcentral describes it as "bacterial SSU rRNA". It matches the Rfam family "Bacterial small subunit ribosomal RNA", at positions 55 to 1015 of the family's 1533-position model. The record is from RNAcentral.
AUGCAAGUCGAACGAAGUAGCAAUACUUAGUGGCAGACGGGUGAGUAACAUGUGGGUAUCUUCCCUUUGGUGAGGAAUAACACGAGGAAACUUGUGCUAAUACCUCAUAAGUCUUUACGGAGAAAGCUUUAUGCGCCAAUGGAUGAGCCCGCACUUGAUUAGUUUGUUGGUGGGGUAAUGGCCUACCAAGACUUUGAUCAAUAGCUGAUCUGAGAGGAUGAUCAGCCACAUUGGGACUGAGACACGGCCCAAACUCCUACGGGAGGCAGCAGUAGGGAAUAUUGCACAAUGGAGGAAACUCUGAUGCAGCGAUGCCGCGUGAGUGAAGAAGGCCUUUGGGUUGUAAAGCUCUUUCGUCGGGGAAGAAAAUGACUGUACCCGAAUAAGAAGGUCCGGCUAACUUCGUGCCAGCAGCCGCGGUAAUACGAAGGGACCUAGCGUAGUUCGGAAUUACUGGGCUUAAAGAGUUCGUAGGUGGUUAAAAAAGUUGGUGGUGAAAUCCCAGAGCUUAACUCUGGAACUGCCAUCAAAACUUUUUAGCUAGAGUAUGAUAGAGGAAAGCAGAAUCUCUAGUGUAGAGGUGAAAUUCGUAGAUAUUAGAAAGAAUACCAAUUGCGAAGGCAGCUUUCUGGAUCAUUACUGACGCUGAGGAACGAAAGCAUGGGUAGCGAAGAGGAUUAGAUACCCUCGUAGUCCAUGCCGUAAACGAUGUGUGUUAGACGUUGGAAAUUUAUUUUCAGUGUCGCAGCGAAAGCAUUAAACACACCGCCUGGGGAGUACGACCGCAAGGUUAAAACUCAAAUGAAUUGACGGGGACCCGCACAAGUAGUGGAGCAUGUGGUUUAAUUCGAAGAUACGCGCAGAACCUUACCAACACUUGACAUGUUCGUCGCGACUUUAAGAGAUUAAAGUUU